UACGGAGGAGGCAAGCGUUAUCCGGAAUUAUUGGGCGUAAAGCGUCCGUAGGUGGCUCUUCAAGUCUGCUGUCAAAGAGUGGGGCUUAACCCUGCAAAGGCAGUGGAAACUGAAAGGCUAGAGAGCCGUAGGGGUAGAGGGAAUUCCCGGUGUAGCGGUGAAAUGCGUAGAUAUCGGAAGGAACAUCAGUGGCGAAAGCGGCUUCCUGGACCAGAACUGACGAUCAGGCACGAAAGCGUGGGGAGCAAACAGG
RNAcentral lists this ribosomal RNA (253 nucleotides) under uncultured bacterium. RNAcentral's name for it is "partial 16S ribosomal RNA". It matches the Rfam family "Bacterial small subunit ribosomal RNA", at positions 524 to 776 of the family's 1533-position model. The record is from RNAcentral.